Molecule: ribosomal RNA, 352 nt
Filed under: uncultured bacterium
Lineage: Bacteria
Description: bacterial SSU rRNA
Rfam family: Bacterial small subunit ribosomal RNA
Source: RNAcentral
UGGCAACGGCUAAUAUCCGUUGUUGAUGACGGUACCCGCAUAAGAAGCACCGGCUAACUACGUGCCAGCAGCCGCGGUAAUACGUAGGGUGCGAGCGUUAAUCGGAAUUACUGGGCGUAAAGCGUGCGCAGGCGGUUUCGUAAGACAGACGUGAAAUACCCCGGGCUCAACCUGGGAACUGCGUUUGUGACUGCGAGGCUAGAGUACGGCAGAGGGGGGUAGGAAUUCCACGUGUAGCAGUGAAAUGCGUAGAGAUGUGGAGGAAUACCGAUGGCGAAGGCAGCCCCCUGGGUUAGUACUGACGCUCAUGCACGAAAGCGUGGGGAGCAAACAGGAUUAGAUACCCUGGUAG